Molecule: long non-coding RNA, 1267 nt
Filed under: Scophthalmus maximus (turbot)
Lineage: Eukaryota; Metazoa; Chordata; Actinopteri; Pleuronectiformes; Scophthalmidae
Description: lncRNA (ENSSMAG00000037549.1)
Source: RNAcentral
AUGAUCGCAAAGUGUCAGCUUCAGCACCCGAGGAGAGGACAGCUCCGCUGUGUCUGCUCCUCCGGACCUCCGGACCUCCGGACCGCGACGACAGCCACCCUGCUGCAGGCAGCCGGUGAGGCCGGCACCUCCAGCCCGACACUCCGCCCCUGCAAGUCUGGAAGAAGUCUGAACACCCGCCGACGGAGAGAUCCGCGACUGACGGUGUGCUCAAUAUGUACCAGGGGCAUUUACAGGACAAGAGGUGAUCACGAUCAGAGGUUUUAAAACUGCUGCGUCCGAACUACACCUGUCGUCCAACUAACUGAGGGCCGCGUGCUCUGAUCAAUUACAGCUAAAAUGACGAGCUUUUAAGAGAGAAUCGUCUACAUUGAGUCAAAAUGUUCAUUGAGAAAAAACAGAGAGAGAGAGAGAGAGAGAGAGAGAGAGAGAGAGAGAGAGAGCUGCUGGAGCGCGCCAACACUGCACGUGCAGGUACAUGUCAAAUGUAAACAGGAGGCGAGCCGGUUUUACGCAGGGCAACCUGCACACUGCAACAAAUCAUCGGUUUCUUAUAACGUGGAUACUUAUGCACACGUGACGUCAUGCAAUCUGACGUCAAAGUCCACACAUUAAACCAUGCUGAGGAUGCACUUUGUGUUACACACACACCGGAAUGCAACGCUUUAGAUGCCAAAAAAAAACCUGGUUUAACAAUGGUCAGAGCAUGACAAAAUAGAAGGCAUGUAGAGUAUAGAAUUAAAAAAGCUUGGUUGCACGUUUCCUUCUGCAAAAAUCCUCCAGCUGCAGCUCGGUGAUUCCAACACUGCACUUCAACAUAAUCACACACUGUCAUCUGAACACAAUAAGAUCACAGAGCAAAGCAGUGAUUCCCUCCAUGGUGGUCAAUGAUAUAAGCUCUCCUCCAUUCACAUGCUUGGAUUUUUAAAAAAAACCAGCUAAUUCUGUUGGUUUACAAAGAUACUUCAGCUCCACACAGACAGCUGGUUAUGCAACGGCUGACCUCACUCCUGAGUCAGUACUCAGGAGCAUUAAACAUCAACAUUUAAUAUUUCAUGAUAUAUUUCUCAAGCAGUAUUCAUUGAAAAUGCAUGAAUAGACAGUCCGCACUUCUCGUCUGGUCUACCCCGGCUGUGUUUGUAAUGGGUCAGUGAAAAAAGCCUGUAAUAUAAUAGUGAAAAUAUAUAGUAUCAAACACAUGCUUUUUUUUUUGUUUUACAGUUUUCCAUGUUUCAUCCCACGAUGUUCCAAUUAUCUGACACUUUAU